This is a long non-coding RNA of Drosophila pseudoobscura, 520 nucleotides long. RefSeq lists it as uncharacterized. The record is from RefSeq and is a predicted model, not a curated record. The transcript is spliced from 2 exons. Lineage: Eukaryota; Metazoa; Arthropoda; Insecta; Diptera; Drosophilidae.
AAGUAAUGUGACAGGCGCUAAAUGUGCUGGCAAUCGAUUUGAUUUGCAAUCUCGAUGCGAAUUUAAUUGAAAUGAAAAAUAGCCAGCCCCCCUUUCAGGCAGUGGGCGUGGACUCGCGGAGGCGUCUGGUGGUUGGUGGCUGGUGAAAAGGCCAGCUGUAAGGAAGUCAGUCGGUCGCCAAUGCAAAUGCAAAUGGAAAUGGAAAUUCAAAUGCCACACAGCCCACGCAAAAUUAUGAAAAAUUAUUAGACACUGGCCACUAGAGAGGGAGUUGGAAGCUGGACGCUGGAAGCCGCAAGGAGCCAUGGCUCCAUGGAAAAAAGUCGAUUUCACGCUGGCUAAUGAAACAAAUUAUAAGUGGCCGCCUGUCGUCGGGCAUUUUGCGGAAACACAUAUCGGAUGGGAUUAGACGGCCCUGCAGGGAUCCCCAUGUGGCUAGUGGCUGGUGGCUGCUGGCGCCACCACUUGUCGCCGUGCAAGUGGGUCAGUGGUGCAAGUGGUGCUGCUAUCGAUGCUUACC